RNAcentral lists this ribosomal RNA (460 nucleotides) under uncultured bacterium. RNAcentral's name for it is "partial 16S ribosomal RNA". It matches the Rfam family "Bacterial small subunit ribosomal RNA", at positions 338 to 795 of the family's 1533-position model. The record is from RNAcentral.
CCUACGGGCGGCAGCAGUGAGGAAUAUUGGUCAAUGGCCGUAAGGCUGAACCAGCCAAGUCGCGUGAAGGAAGACGGAUCUAUGGUUUGUAAACUUCUUUUAUAUGGGAAUAAAGGUGUCCACGUAUGGCUAUUUGCAUGUACCCUAUGAAUAAGCAUCGGCUAACUCCGUGCCAGCAGUCGCGGUAAUACGGAGGAUGCGAGCGUUAUCCGGAUUUAUUGGGUUUAAAGGGUGCGUAGGUUGUUUUUUAAGUCAGCGGUGAAAGUUUGUGGCUCAACCAUAAAAUUGCCGUUGAAACUGGAAGACUUGAGUGUGUUUGAGGUAGGCGGAAUGCGUGGUGUAGCGGUGAAAUGCAUAGAUAUCACGCAGAACUCCGAUUGCGAAGGCAGCUCACUAAGCUACAACUGACACUGAAGCACGAAAGUGUGGGGAUCAAACAGGAUUAGAUACCCUUGUAGUC